This 253-nucleotide ribosomal RNA is filed under the name uncultured bacterium. RNAcentral describes it as "partial 16S ribosomal RNA". It matches the Rfam family "Bacterial small subunit ribosomal RNA", at positions 524 to 776 of the family's 1533-position model. The record is from RNAcentral.
UACGAGGGGGGCAAGCGUUGUUCGGAUUCAUUGGGCGUAAAGGGUGCGUAGGUGGUGCUGUAAGUCAGGUGUGAAAUCUCGGGGCUCAACCCCGAAACUGCACUUGAUACUGCAGUGCUCGAGGACUGGAGAGGAGAUCGGAAUUCAUGGUGUAGCAGUGAAAUGCGUAGAUAUCAUGAGGAAGACCAGUGGCGAAGGCGGAUCUCUGGACAGUUCCUGACACUGAGGCACGAAGGCCAGGGGAGCAAACGGG